GCCGCCUUAGCUCAGCAGGUUAGAGCGCUUGAUUGUGGAUCAAGAGGUCCCCCGUUCAAGUCGGGGAGGCGGUACCA
This 77-nucleotide transfer RNA is filed under the name Roseovarius sp. Its description in RNAcentral is "tRNA-His". It matches the Rfam family "tRNA". Rfam says of the family: Transfer RNA (tRNA) molecules are approximately 80 nucleotides in length. Their secondary structure includes four short double-helical elements and three loops (D, anti-codon, and T loops). Lineage: Bacteria; Pseudomonadati; Pseudomonadota; Alphaproteobacteria; Rhodobacterales; Roseobacteraceae. The record is from RNAcentral.